Molecule: ribosomal RNA, 302 nt
Filed under: Salmonella enterica subsp. enterica serovar Typhimurium
Lineage: Bacteria; Pseudomonadati; Pseudomonadota; Gammaproteobacteria; Enterobacterales; Enterobacteriaceae
Description: partial 23S ribosomal RNA
Rfam family: Bacterial large subunit ribosomal RNA
Source: RNAcentral
AAGAAAUCAACCGAGAUUCCCCCAGUAGCGGCGAGCGAACGGGGAGGAGCCCAGAGCCUGAAUCAGCAUGUGUGUUAGUGGAAGCGUCUGGAAAGGCGCGCGAUACAGGGUGACAGCCCCGUACACAAAAGCGCAUGUGCUGUGAGCUCGAUGAGUAGGGCGGGACACGUGGUAUCCUGUCUGAAUAUGGGGGGACCAUCCUCCAAGGCUAAAUACUCCUGACUGACCGAUAGUGAACCAGUACCGUGAGGGAAAGGCGAAAAGAACCCCGGCGAGGGGAGUGAAAAAGAACCUGAAACCGU